This 89-nucleotide transfer RNA is filed under the name Lindgomyces ingoldianus. RNAcentral's name for it is "tRNA-Asp". It matches the Rfam family "tRNA". Rfam says of the family: Transfer RNA (tRNA) molecules are approximately 80 nucleotides in length. Their secondary structure includes four short double-helical elements and three loops (D, anti-codon, and T loops). Further hydrogen bonds mediate the characteristic L-shaped molecular structure. tRNAs have two regions of fundamental functional importance: the anti-codon, which is responsible for specific mRNA codon recognition, and the 3' end, to which the tRNAs corresponding amino acid is attached (by aminoacyl-tRNA synthetases). tRNAs cope with the degeneracy of the genetic code in two manners: having more than one tRNA (with a specific anti-codon) for a particular amino acid; and 'wobble' base-pairing, i.e. permitting non-standard base-pairing at the 3rd anti-codon position. The record is from RNAcentral. Lineage: Eukaryota; Fungi; Ascomycota; Dothideomycetes; Pleosporales; Lindgomycetaceae.
UCUUCCUUGGUCUAGUGGUCAUGAUUUCCGCUUGUCAACCUGCAAAGGAACGAGCGCGGGAGACCGGGGUUCGAUUCCCCGAGGGAGAG